UACGGGGGGAGCAAGCGUUGUUCGGAUUUACUGGGCGUAAAGGGCGCGUAGGCGGCCACCGCAAGUCAAUUGUGAAAUCUCCGGGCUUAACUCGGAAAGGUCAACUGAUACUGCGGGGCUAGAGUGCGGAAGGGGCAACUGGAAUUCUCGGUGUAGCGGUGAAAUGCGUAGAUAUCAAGAGGAACACCUGCGGCGAAGGCGGGUUGCUGGGCCGACACUGACGCUGAGGCGCGAAAGCCAGGGGGGCGAACGGG
RNAcentral lists this ribosomal RNA (254 nucleotides) under uncultured bacterium. RNAcentral's name for it is "partial 16S ribosomal RNA". It matches the Rfam family "Bacterial small subunit ribosomal RNA", at positions 524 to 776 of the family's 1533-position model. The record is from RNAcentral.